This 74-nucleotide transfer RNA is filed under the name Sneathiella glossodoripedis. Its description in RNAcentral is "tRNA-Gln". It matches the Rfam family "tRNA". Rfam says of the family: Transfer RNA (tRNA) molecules are approximately 80 nucleotides in length. Their secondary structure includes four short double-helical elements and three loops (D, anti-codon, and T loops). The record is from RNAcentral. RNAcentral also lists the same sequence under 7 other names. Lineage: Bacteria; Pseudomonadati; Pseudomonadota; Alphaproteobacteria; Sneathiellales; Sneathiellaceae.
UGGGGAAUCGUCUAAUGGUAGGACAGCGGACUCUGACUCCGUCAAUCCUGGUUCGAGUCCAGGUUCCCCAGCCA